RNAcentral lists this ribosomal RNA (253 nucleotides) under uncultured bacterium. Its description in RNAcentral is "partial 16S ribosomal RNA". It matches the Rfam family "Bacterial small subunit ribosomal RNA", at positions 524 to 776 of the family's 1533-position model. The record is from RNAcentral.
UACGUAGGGUGCAAGCGUUGUCCGGAAUUAUUGGGCGUAAAGAGCUCGUAGCCGGUUUGUCGCGUCUGCUGUGAAAUCCCGAGGCUCAACCUCGGGCCUGCAGUGGGUACGGGCAGACUAGAGUGCGGUAGGGGAGAUUGGAAUUCCUGGUGUAGCGGUGGAAUGCGCAGAUAUCAGGAGGAACACCGAUGGCGAAGGCGGGACUCUGGGCCGAUACUGACGCUGAGGAGCGAAAGCGUGGGGAGCAAACAGG